Molecule: ribosomal RNA, 288 nt
Filed under: uncultured bacterium
Lineage: Bacteria
Description: partial 16S ribosomal RNA
Rfam family: Bacterial small subunit ribosomal RNA
Source: RNAcentral
GUGGAUUAGAUACCCUGGUAGUCCACACCGUAAACGUUGGGCGCUAGGUGUGGGAUCCAUUCCACGGGUUCCGUGCCGCAGCUAACGCAUUAAGCGCCCCGCCUGGGGAGUACGGCCGCAAGGCUAAAACUCAAAGGAAUUGACGGGGGCCCGCACAAGCGGCGGAGCAUGCGGAUUAAUUCGAUGCAACGCGAAGAACCUUACCUGGGUUUGACAUACGCCGGAAGCUCCCAGAGAUGGGAGUCUCUUUGAUACCGGUGUACAGGUGGUGCACGGUCGUCGACAACU